Molecule: long non-coding RNA, 577 nt
Organism: Pantherophis guttatus
Lineage: Eukaryota; Metazoa; Chordata; Lepidosauria; Squamata; Colubridae
Source: RefSeq, a predicted model, not a curated record
GAGAACUGCACUAUCUGAAGCCAAAACCUUCUUUUGAAGGCCUGUGAAGACAGCAAGUUUAAAUGCAAAAGGGGGAAUGACCAGAGGAAGGAUAGAUGCAAUACAGAUGAACCAGAGAACAGAGCCUUGGACUCAGAAUUCAGAGCUUUAUAUUUGAGAGAAUGGUCUUAGCUAUGCAAGGCUUCUAAUAAUCUCCUAUAACUGUUUUCCAACCACAUUCUAAGGAAAUCCUGGUUUCCUGGUGAGCUUGUGAGGAUCUGUAGAGUUCCAGAAGGUUCCAGGACGUUGACAUUUCAAUUUAGGGAGACAUAAAAAAGAAAUUCCAAAGUGGGCAGGAGGACAAAGUAGAGGAAUUGACUUGCUCCAACUGUUAUUAGGUGUCUGGCUCCUUCUAUCCACUGACUGAAAAAGAAAAACUUGUUUUUACUUGCUGAAAAUUCCAAUCUGCUUGUGUCUCUGGCUCACAACCUAAGGCACAGCUUAUUUUUAAUUUCAUUCUCUAGCUUGAAGGGACCUGGCAGGCAGUAAUGGCCAAUACACAGGUUUUUAGAAAACAAACAUAAAGCUUUCCUUAGGA